GAUGAACGCUGGCGGCGUGCCUAAUACAUGCAAGUCGAGCGAACGGACGAGAAGCUUGCUUCUCUGAUGUUAGCGGCGGACGGGUGAGUAACACGUGGAUAACCUACCUAUCAGACUGGGAUAACUUCGGGAAACCGGAGCUAAUACCGGAUGAUAUUUUGAACCGCAUGGUUCAAAAGUGAAAGACGGUCUUGCUGUCACUUAUAGAUGGAUCCGCGCUGCAUUAGCUAGUUGGUAAGGUAACGGCUUACCAAGGCAACGAUGCAUAGCCGACCUGAGAGGGUGAUCGGCCACACUGGAACUGAGACACGGUCCAGACUCCUACGGGAGGCAGCAGUAGGGAAUCUUCCGCAAUGGGCGAAAGCCUGACGGAGCAACGCCGCGUGAGUGAUGAAGGUCUUCGGAUCGUAAAACUCUGUUAUUAGGGAAGAACAUAUGUGUAAGUAACUGUGCACAUCUUGACGGUACCUAAUCAGAAAGCCACGGCUAACUACGUG
Molecule: ribosomal RNA, 497 nt
Filed under: uncultured bacterium
Lineage: Bacteria
Description: partial 16S ribosomal RNA
Rfam family: Bacterial small subunit ribosomal RNA
Source: RNAcentral